Molecule: long non-coding RNA, 290 nt
Filed under: Rhinopithecus bieti (black snub-nosed monkey)
Lineage: Eukaryota; Metazoa; Chordata; Mammalia; Primates; Cercopithecidae
Description: lncRNA (ENSRBIG00000045230.1)
Source: RNAcentral
UGAAUGGGAAGAUGGAGAUGGAUGUUGAGGGAGUUUCUCCGCGCCCGGAGCCCAUCCCCCGCUCCCAGGGGGCUGGCGGAGCCUGCCAGGCGCCGCCACAGCCGCCCCAGCCCCAGCCGCCGCCGCAGCAGCUGGCUCAGGAUGAACUGCCCGGCGAGAGUGCAGGCGCUGAGGACAGCGACGAUCCCGAGACGAGACCCAACGGCGAGAAAGGAGAGAGCAAGUAUUUCAGUGACAUCAUCCACUCAGGAGAGUUGGGGCAAGGCUGGCUGAGGUUCUCAAGGAGCUGA